Sporormia fimetaria CBS 119925 is the source of this 92-nucleotide non-coding RNA. The record is from the annotation of a GenBank genome assembly. Lineage: Eukaryota; Fungi; Ascomycota; Dothideomycetes; Pleosporales; Sporormiaceae.
GCUCGCUUAGCUCAGUGGUAGAGCUUUAGACUCUUGGACGUACCCGUUUUGAGUGCAUCUAAUUGUCGCGAGUUCGAUCCUCGCAGCGGGCC